Molecule: ribosomal RNA, 25 nt
Filed under: Trichoderma atroviride
Lineage: Eukaryota; Fungi; Ascomycota; Sordariomycetes; Hypocreales; Hypocreaceae
Description: partial 18S ribosomal RNA
Source: RNAcentral
CCCUUUUCUCGUCCGCGGAGGACAU